AAUAUUGGACAAUGGGGGCAACCCUGAUCCAGCCAUCCCGCGUGUGUGAAGAAGGUCUUCGGUUGGUAAAUCACUUUAUGUUGGGAGGAAGGGCUUUAGGUUAAUACCCUGAAGUGUUGACGUUACCAGCAGAAGAAGCACCGGCUAACUCGGUGCCAGCAGCCGCGGUAAUGUAGAGGGUGCAAGCGUUAAUCAGAUUUAGUGGGCGUAAAGCACGCGUGAGUAGUUCAGUAAAAUAGGUGGGGAAUCCCCGGGCUUAACCUGGGAACUGAUUUCAUAACUGAUGGGCUGGAGUGCGGUAGGGGGUAGUGGGAUUUCCUGGGUAGCGGUGGAAUGCAUGGAUAUAGAAAAGAAAAACAGUGGCUAAGGCGGCUACCUGGACUAAUACUGACACUGGAGUGCGAAAGCGUGGGGGGCAAAC
RNAcentral lists this ribosomal RNA (421 nucleotides) under uncultured bacterium. RNAcentral describes it as "partial 16S ribosomal RNA". It matches the Rfam family "Bacterial small subunit ribosomal RNA", at positions 360 to 773 of the family's 1533-position model. The record is from RNAcentral.